UGGCGGCAUGCCUUACACAUGCAAGUCGAACGGCAGCACGGGAGCAAUCCUGGUGGCGAGUGGCGAACGGGUGAGUAAUAUAUCGGAACGUGCCCAGUCGUGGGGGAUAACGUAGCGAAAGCUACGCUAAUACCGCAUACGAUCUACGGAUGAAAGCGGGGGACUCGUAAGGGCCUCGCGCGAUUGGAGCGGCCGAUAUCAGAUUAGGUUGUUGGUGAGGUAAAAGCUCACCAAGCCUGCGAUCUGUAGCUGGUCUGAGAGGACGACCAGCCACACUGGAACUGAGACACGGUCCAGACUCCUACGGGAGGCAGCAGUGGGGAAUUUUGGACAAUGGACGCAAGUCUGAUCCAGCAAUGCCGCGUGCAGGACGAAGGCCUUCGGGUUGUAAACUGCUUUUGUACGGAACGAAACGGUCUUCUUUAAUACAGAGGGCUAAUGACGGUACCGUAAGAAUAAGCACCGGCUAACUACGUGCCAGCAGCCGCGGUAAUACGUAGGGUGCGAGCGUUAAUCGGAAUUACUGGGCGUAAAGCGUGCGCAGGCGGUUAUAUAAGUCAGAUGUGAAAUCCCCGGGCUCAACCUGGGACCUGCAUUUGAGACUGUAUAGCUAGAGUACGGUAGAGGGGGAUGGAAUUCCGCGUGUAGCAGUGAAAUGCGUAGAUAUGCGGAGGAACACCGAUGGCGAAGGCAAUCCCCUGGACCUGUACUGACGCUCAUGCACGAAAGCGUGGGGAGCAAACAGGAUUAGAUACCCUGGUAGUCCACGCCCUAAACGAUGUCAACUGGUUGUUGGGUCUUCACUGACUCAGUAACGAAGCUAACGCGUGAAGUUGACCGCCUGGGGAGUACGGCCGCAAGGUUG
Molecule: ribosomal RNA, 865 nt
Filed under: uncultured bacterium
Lineage: Bacteria
Description: bacterial SSU rRNA
Rfam family: Bacterial small subunit ribosomal RNA
Source: RNAcentral